CUGAAUAUGCUUGCAUAAUAUCAUGAUUAUUACAUAUAUAAUAAGCACAUAUGAAAUUUCAAAACAUUUGCUUGCUCUCCCUCUACAAUAGGCAUCUGAUAAGCAUUUGAAAAAGUGCAGAUAUGGAGGAAAGGGUGACCAACAUGCUCAAAAUCAUCGAAAACGAUGGGGACUCUUUUGCAGAAAGAGCCGAAAUGUACUAUAGGAAGAGGCCAGAGCUUAUUGGACAUGUGGAAGACUCCUACCGCUCGUAUCGAGCAUUGGCGGAGAGAUAUAAUCUGCUAUCAAGAGAGAUGCAAAGUGCCAAUCGCACCAUUGCGGCUGUCUUCCCAGAACAAGUUCAAUAUGAAGUGGAUGAUUAUGAUGACAAUGAAGCGAACAACCCCGCCUCCACUUCUUCUGAUGAUGCCAAGAAGCCAUGCAAUGUUUCCAAACGAAAAGUUCCGG
Molecule: unclassified non-coding RNA, 447 nt
Filed under: Hevea brasiliensis (rubber tree)
Lineage: Eukaryota; Viridiplantae; Streptophyta; Magnoliopsida; Malpighiales; Euphorbiaceae
Source: RNAcentral